RNAcentral lists this ribosomal RNA (253 nucleotides) under uncultured bacterium. RNAcentral describes it as "partial 16S ribosomal RNA". It matches the Rfam family "Bacterial small subunit ribosomal RNA", at positions 524 to 776 of the family's 1533-position model. The record is from RNAcentral.
UACGUAGGUGGCAAGCGUUGUCCGGAAUCACUGGGCGUAAAGCGCGCGCAGGCGGCGAUCUACGUCUGGGGUGAAAGCCCGGAGCUCAACUCCGGGACUGCCUUGGAUACGGGAUCGCUUGAGAAUUGGAGAGGUAAGGGGAAUUCCACGUGUAGCGGUGAAAUGCGUAGAUAUGUGGAGGAACACCUGUGGCGAAGGCGCCUUGCUGGCCAAUUUCUGACGCUGAGGCGCGAAAGCGUGGGGAGCAAACAGG